AGUCAUUCCUAUAGCAUACAGCUCAUUCUCCACCCACAUCUCUAAGGGCCUUGAAAGAGGUGACACCAUUAAGAUCAAAGUUUUAAUAAACAUGAUAGCUUCUUUGAAGAAGAAGAAGAAGAAGAAGAAGAAGAAGAAGAAGAAGAAGAAGAAGAAGAACAAGAACAAGAAGAAGAAGAAGCAAACUAUAUCCUCUGCUUUGCACAAUAUAUUUAUGAGGAAUCCAUGUUGUAUGCAACUUUACAAUCAAAACUUGCAACGUUCAUUUCUCUGCUUGCAUUUCCAUCCAAAUCAAUUAAGAGGAGAACUUUGCUGCAGCUAGCAAGCUGGCCAGUAGAGGCCUCUUUGGAUGCGCCUUAUGAUGAAAGGACAUUUCGAAUGUGCCUGAAAUCAGAUGCUGCUUGCUGAACUACUUGAAAGAUUCUGUUGCAUAAGGAAAAGAGAGAGAGAAGGAGAAGAGAAAAGAAAAGAUUACUCUUUAAUGCCCUUUAAGUUGCAAGAUGUUGAUUAAUGUUGCCCUUUACAUUAAUGAUGUUUCAAGUAAAAGAAAACAAAUUUAAAAUGGAUAAAUUCUAUUGAGGAUGCAUUAAUUAAGCAGAGACUUUACCAUAUGCUGUGGCUGAAGUUCAGGCUGGCCUUUCUGUUGUAGUUACCUGUGUAAAAUCCACCCCAUCCUCUACAUGAAUGCCCAAGCUCAAUAGCCAUUUGAAUGAAGGCUUUAGUUUGAUUCGCCAUACAAGGGGGACUGUGUCAGUGUGUUUUCUUUCUAGGAGUCACUAAGUGAUUUCUAUAUCUGUUGUCAUGGUGAUAUUGCAAAGCAGGGGAAAAUGGGGAAAGGGAGGGUUAACUUCAGGCUUUCUCUACACCCUCUGCACUGAGAACGAAGAUGUUGUUUAGCAGGGCCUAUAAAACACUGGCCUUUCUCUGGGCCUUCUUUUUGUUCUCUGAUUGUCAAUAAAACUCAUUUUAAAGGGAACAAGGACAUCUAAAUGUCAUCUGUCACAGUGUUAGAGAGAUUAAGUUUGUUUAGGAACUUAUGCAGGACAAAAGGCCACUAUUUGCUGGGCAGAUACAAAGCAGCAAUGCCUAUCAGGGCUCUUGAUUUAGAAGGAGCAGAGGGAAGGCCGAGCAGGAAAGAUCAGCUCACUUGCAGGUGAUGGCAAGAGCAUCCUUGACAUGACAAGCAUCAGAAACACACAACACGGCCGCCAUAAAUAUGGUGUGCCAUUCAAGCCUUUUUUCCUCCUUUGUUUUGCUUCGUGGUUUCUUUCUCCAGCCAUUUCUUUGCACCUUUUAAAAGGAGGCCUUCAGCUGCUCUUCAGGCCAGAGACCUGCCUUUUGCUUGUAUUACUAAAGCAACAUGCACGCCGAUGGUCAUCAUAAUGAGCUGAGAGACUGACUACACACCGAAAACUUCAUAUGGCAGA
This is a long non-coding RNA of Hemicordylus capensis (graceful crag lizard), 1427 nucleotides long. RefSeq lists it as uncharacterized. Lineage: Eukaryota; Metazoa; Chordata; Lepidosauria; Squamata; Cordylidae. The record is from RefSeq and is a predicted model, not a curated record. The transcript is spliced from 3 exons.